UUAAGUUAGAAAGGGCGCACGGUGGAUGCCUUGACACUAGGAGUCGAUGAAGGACGGGACUAACGCCGAUAUGCUUCGGGGAGCUGUAAGUAAGCUUUGAUCCGAAGAUUUCCGAAUGGGGAAACCCACCAUACGUAAUGGUAUGGUAUCCUUAUCUGAAUACAUAGGGUAAGGAAGACAGACCCAGGGAACUGAAACAUCUAAGUACCUGGAGGAAGAGAAAGCAAAUGCGAUUUCCUGAGUAGCGGCGAGCGAAACGGAACAUAGCCCAAACCAAGAGGCUUGCCUCUUGGGGUUGUAGGACAUUCUAUACGGAGUUACAAAGGAACGAGGUAGACGAAGCGACCUGGAAAGGUCCGUCGUAGAGGGUAACAACCCCGUAGUCGAAACUUCGUUCUCUCUUGAAUGUAUCCUGAGUACGGCGGAACACGUGAAAUUCCGUCGGAAUCUGGGAGGACCAUCUCCCAAGGCUAAAUACUCCCUAGUGAUCGAUAGUGAACCAGUACCGUGAGGGAAAGGUGAAAAGCACCCCGGAAGGGGAGUGAAAGAGAUCCUGAAACCGUGUGCCUACAAAUAGUCAGAGCCCGUUAACGGGUGAUGGCGUGCCUUUUGUAGAAUGAACCGGCGAGUUACGAUCCCGUGCGAGGUUAAGCUGAAGAGGCGGAGCCGCAGCGAAAGCGAGUCUGAAUAGGGCGUUUAGUACGUGGUCGUAGACCCGAAACCAGGUGAUCUACCCAUGUCCAGGGUGAAGUUCAGGUAACACUGAAUGGAGGCCCGAACCCACGCACGUUGAAAAGUGCGGGGAUGAGGUGUGGGUAGCGGAGAAAUUCCAAUCGAACCUGGAGAUAGCUGGUUCUCCCCGAAAUAGCUUUAGGGCUAGCCUUAAGUGUAAGAGUCUUGGAGGUAGAGCACUGAUUGGACUAGGGGUCCUCAUCGGAUUACCGAAUUCAGUCAAACUCCGAAUGCCAAUGACUUAUCCUUAGGAGUCAGACUGCGAGUGAUAAGAUCCGUAGUCAAAAGGGAAACAGCCCAGACCGCCAGCUAAGGUCCCAAAGUGUGUAUUAAGUGGAAAAGGAUGUGGAGUUGCUUAGACAACUAGGAUGUUGGCUUAGAAGCAGCCACCAUUUAAAGAGUGCGUAAUAGCUCACUAGUCGAGUGACUCUGCGCCGAAAAUGUACCGGGGCUAAAUACACCACCGAAGCUGCGGAUUGAUACCAAUGGUAUCAGUGGUAGGGGAGCGUUCUAAGGACAGUGAAGUCAGACCGUAAGGACUGGUGGAGUGCUUAGAAGUGAGAAUGCCGGUAUGAGUAGCGAAAGACGGGUGAGAAUCCCGUCCACCGAAUGCCUAAGGUUUCCUGAGGAAGGCUCGUCCGCUCAGGGUUAGUCAGGACCUAAGCCGAGGCCGACAGGCGUAGGCGAUGGACAACAGGUUGAUAUUCCUGUACCACCUCUUUAUCGUUUGAGCAAUGGAGGGACGCAGAAGGAUAGAAGAAGCGUGCGAUUGGUUGUGCACGUCCAAGCAGUUAGGCUGAUAAGUAGGCAAAUCCGCUUAUCNGCUGAGCUGUGAUGGGGAAGCUCCUUAUGGAGCGAAGUCUUUGAUUCCCCGCUGCCAAGAAAAGCUUCUAGCGAGAUAAAAGGUGCCUGUACCGCAAACCGACACAGGUAGGCGAGGAGAGAAUCCUAAGGUGUGCGAGAGAACUCUGGUUAAGGAACUCGGCAAAAUGACCCCGUAACUUCGGGAGAAGGGGUGCUUUCUUAACGGAAAGCCGCAGUGAAUAGGCCCAAGCGACUGUUUAGCAAAAACACAGCUCUCUGCGAAGCCGUAAGGCGAAGUAUAGGGGGUGACACCUGCCCGGUGCUGGAAGGUUAAGGAGAGGGGUUAGCGUAAGCGAAGCUCUGAACUGAAGCCCCAGUAAACGGCGGCCGUAACUAUAACGGUCCUAAGGUAGCGAAAUUCCUUGUCGGGUAAGUUCCGACCCGCACGAAAGGUGUAACGAUUUGGGCACUGUCUCAACCAGAGACUCGGUGAAAUUAUAGUACCUGUGAAGAUGCAGGUUACCCGCGACAGGACGGAAAGACCCCGUGGAGCUUUACUGUAGCCUGAUAUUGAAUUUUGGUACAGUUUGUACAGGAUAGGCGGGAGCCAUUGAAACCGGAGCGCUAGCUUCGGUGGAGGCGCUGGUGGGAUACCGCCCUGACUGUAUUGAAAUUCUAACCUACGGGUCUUAUCGACCCGGGAGACAGUGUCAGGUGGGCAGUUUGACUGGGGCGGUCGCCUCCUAAAGUGUAACGGAGGCGCCCAAAGGUUCCCUCAGAAUGGUUGGAAAUCAUUCGUAGAGUGCAAAGGCAUAAGGGAGCUUGACUGCGAGACCUACAAGUCGAGCAGGGACGAAAGUCGGGCUUAGUGAUCCGGUGGUUCCGCAUGGAAGGGCCAUCGCUCAACGGAUAAAAGCUACCCCGGGGAUAACAGGCUUAUCUCCCCCAAGAGUCCACAUCGACGGGGAGGUUUGGCACCUCGAUGUCGGCUCAUCGCAUCCUGGGGCUGUAGUCGGUCCCAAGGGUUGGGCUGUUCGCCCAUUAAAGCGGUACGCGAGCUGGGUUCAGAACGUCGUGAGACAGUUCGGUCCCUAUCCGUCGUGGGCGUAGGAAAUUUGAGAGGAGCUGUCCUUAGUACGAGAGGACCGGGAUGGACGCACCGCUGGUGUACCAGUUGUUCUGCCAAGGGCAUAGCUGGGUAGCUAUGUGCGGAAGGGAUAAGUGCUGAAAGCAUCUAAGCAUGAAGCCCCCCUCAAGAUGAGAUUUCCCAUAGCGUAAGCUAGUAAGAUCCCUGAAAGAUGAUCAGGUUGAUAGGUUCGAGGUGGAAGCAUGGUGACAUGUGGAGCUGACGAAUACUAAUAGAUCGAGGACUUAACCAU
Molecule: ribosomal RNA, 2915 nt
Filed under: Bacillus thuringiensis
Lineage: Bacteria; Bacillati; Bacillota; Bacilli; Caryophanales; Bacillaceae
Description: bacterial LSU rRNA
Rfam family: Bacterial large subunit ribosomal RNA
Source: RNAcentral